This 786-nucleotide ribosomal RNA is filed under the name uncultured Actinomycetales bacterium. Its description in RNAcentral is "bacterial SSU rRNA". It matches the Rfam family "Bacterial small subunit ribosomal RNA", at positions 8 to 796 of the family's 1533-position model. Lineage: Bacteria; Bacillati; Actinomycetota; Actinomycetes; Actinomycetales. The record is from RNAcentral.
AGAGUUUGAUCAUGGCUCAGGACGAACGCUGGCGGCGUGCUUAAUACAUGCAAGUCGAGCGAGAAACCUCGAAGGGGUAACCCUUCGAGGUGGACAGCGGCGAACGGGUGAGUAACACGUGGGUAAUGUGCCCCAGACACCGGGAUAACAGCGGGAAACCGCUGCUAAUACCGGAUAACCCCUGCGCUCCGCAUGGAAAGCAGGGCAAAGCUCCGGCGGUCUGGGAUCAGCCCGCGGCCUAUCAGCUUGUUGGCGGGGUAACGGCCCACCAAGGCGAUGACGGGUAGCUGGCGUGAGAGCGCGACCAGCCACACUGGGACUGAGACACGGCCCAGACUCCUACGGGAGGCAGCAGUAGGGAAUCUUGCGCAAUGGGCGAAAGCCUGACGCAGCGACGCCGCGUGAGGGAUGACGGCCUUCGGGUUGUAAACCUCUUUCAGCAGGGACGAAGCCUCACGGUGACGGUACCUGCAGAAGAAGGUCCGGCCAACUACGUGCCAGCAGCCGCGGUAAUACGUAGGGACCGAGCGUUGUCCGGAUUUAUUGGGCGUAAAGAGCGCGUAGGCGGUCGUCCGCGUCGGAUGUGAAAGCUCAGAGCUCAACUCUGAGAGGCCAUUCGAUACGGGACGACUAGAGGCAGGUAGGGGAAAGUGGAAUUCCUGGUGUAGCGGUGAAAUGCGCAGAUAUCAGGAGGAACACCGGUGGCGAAGGCGGCUUUCUGGGCCUGUCCUGACGCUGAGGCGCGAAAGCUGGGGGAGCGAACAGGAUUAGAUACCCCAGUAGUCC